Herpailurus yagouaroundi (jaguarundi) is the source of this 789-nucleotide long non-coding RNA. RefSeq lists it as uncharacterized. The transcript has 3 exons. The record is from RefSeq and is a predicted model, not a curated record. Lineage: Eukaryota; Metazoa; Chordata; Mammalia; Carnivora; Felidae.
UUUCAGCUGGCAAGCAGCUUGCCCUGCGGACCCGGAGCAGCUAUGGCUCAGCCGGGACACGGCGGGUGGAAACUCCACAGGCCCGAUCGGUUGUGUCCUUGGCUCGUUUAGGCUGCGACUUCAGAUACACCCACCCACCCUGCCAGCGCACAGAAAGCACAGCCCCUGAUGGCUGCAGGAACUUGUACCAGACCCCAGGCUGCAUACUGUGACCCAUUCAGCUCAAGAUUUUAUCGGGCAGACAUUGCCAGGGUCUCUCAGUCUCUGACUCAGAUUACAGUUUAGAACACAACAUGGCAGGCCACGUCAAAUGGAGCCAAUCUUUGAACUAAGGAGAAGAGCGCUUCUGCACCUACCAGGAAAUGAAAGAAAAGCAGGAGUGCCUACUUUUCUGGAAAACCCAUUCAUUCAUUCAGUAAAUAUUCAUUGGACACCCGCUAUGUAUCAGGCAUUGUGCUACACUGUGGGAAUACAGCAGUGGACAAGACAUAGGUGGCCCUGAGCUCUUGGCAUUCAGUGAAGGAAAGCCAGAUACCAACUUGCACCGUGACCGGGAGCCCUGUACUCAGAGGACAUCUGGCUACAGCACUGUUGACCUUCCUGAUUUCAGGUCAGUUUAGAAGUCCGAUAUAUCCUACCUUUAUUCUAUCAACCCCUGUUCUAUUAUUCAGUUGGGGGUUGGUUGGUGGGGGCCACCAUGAGCAGCCACUUACCCAGGAGCAGAGUCUCUGAUUCACGAAAAUGACAAACAUACUGAGAGAACAUAUAAAUCGAAACAGUACAUGGAGU